UUAAAGUAGUAAGGGCGCAGGGUGGAUGCCUUGGCACUAAGAGCCGAUGAAAGACGUGAUAAGCUGCGAAAAGCUUCGGGGAGGAGCACAUAUCCAAUGAUCCGGAGAUAUCUGAAUGGGGAAACCCGGCAGAGGAAACCUCUGUCAGCGUGCAGUGAAUACAUAGCUGUACGUGGGGAACCCGGGGAACUGAAACAUCUAAGUACCCGGAGGAAGAGAAAGAAAAUUUAUCGAUUUCCAAAGUAGCGGCGAGCGAAAUGGAAAGAGCCCAAACCGUGAUGCGUGCAUCGCGGGGUUCGGACUGCGUUGUGGCAGACGUAAGAUAGGAGAACGGACUGGGAAGUCCGGCCGGAGAGAGUGAAAGCCUCGUAUCCGAAAUCCCAAGUCGCCUAGCAGGAUCCAGAGUAGGACGAGACACGAGAAACCUUGUCUGAACGAGCGGGGACCACCCCGUAAGGCUAAAUACUUCUUAGUGACCGAUAGCGCAUAGUACUGUGAAGGAAAGGUGAAAAGUACCCCGGGAGGGGAGUGAAAGAGAACCUGAAACCCUGUGUCUACAAGCUGUGGGACCUCUUUAUAUGAGGGACUGCGUACUUUUUGUAGAACGGUCCGGCGAGUUGUGCGUACUGGCGAGGUUAAGGACUUAAGGUCUGGAGCCGAAGUGAAAGCAAGCGUUAAUAGCGCGUCAAGUCAGUGAGUGCAGACCCGAAACCGGGUGACCUAUCCAUGUCCAGGUUGAAGCUUCCGUAAGAGGAAGUGGAGGACCGAACCCACAUCCGUUGAAAAGGGUGGGGAUGAGGUGUGGAUAGCGGAGAAAUUCCAAUCGAACCCGGAGAUAGCUGGUUCUCCUCGAAAUAGCUUUAGGGCUAGCCUCAUGAGAGUCUUAUGGAGGUAGAGCACUGAAUUGCCUAGGGGGCGUCAAAGCUUACCAAAGCAUAUCAAACUCCGAAUGCCAUCAAGAUGAUUCAUGGGAGUCAGACCAUACGAGAUAAGUUGGAUGGUCAAAAGGGAAAGAGCCCAGACCUACAGCUAAGGUCCCAAAGUGCGUGUUAAGUGGAAAAGGAUGUGGGGAUUCUAAGACAACUAGGACGUUGGCUUAGAAGCAGCCAUUCAUUGAAAGAGUGCGUAAUAGCUCACUAGUCGAGAGUCCCUGCGCCGAAAAUGUCCGGGGCUGAAACACGACACCGAAGCUUAGGAAUGUGUAAACAUUGGUAGAGGAGCAUUGCUGGCGGGAUGAAGCCAUACCGUAAGGAGUGGUGGACUGCCAGGAAGAGAGAAUGCCGGAAUGAGUAGCGAGAUGAAGGUGAGAAUCCUUCAGGCCGAAUAUCUAAGGUUUCCAGAGUAAAGCUGAUCUGCUCUGGGUAAGUCGGGACCUAAGGCGAGGUCGAAAGACGUAGUCGAUGGAUAACAGGUUGAAAUUCCUGUACCGCAUAUAAACAGAACUGUGGGGACACAGACAGGGAAUGGAAUCCGGGAGUGGAAAUCCCGGUGCAAGCGAGGUAGGAGUGCUGUUGGCAAAUCCGCAGCACGAUCUGAAGACGUGACGCGUACCGAACAUAAGUAGGGAAGUCCAGGCCCCUGGCUGUCAAGAAAAGCCGCUAUUGUUUUAUAUGUGCCCGUACCGCAAACCGACACAGGUGGAUGAGGAGAGAAUCCUAAGGCCGACGGGAGAAGUAUUGUUAAGGAACUCGGCAAAAUGACUCCGUAACUUCGGGAGAAGGAGUGCCAUGAGAGUGGCCGCAGAGAAAUGGCCCAAGCAACUGUUUAGCAAAAACACAGGUCUAUGCAAAACCGCAAGGUGAAGUAUAUGGGCUGACGCCUGCCCGGUGCUGGAAGGUUAAGGGGAGAGGUUAGCGCAAGCGAAGCUUUGAACUUAAGCCCCAGUAAACGGCGGCCGUAACUAUAACGGUCCUAAGGUAGCGAAAUUCCUUGUCGG
RNAcentral lists this ribosomal RNA (1936 nucleotides) under human gut metagenome. RNAcentral describes it as "bacterial LSU rRNA". It matches the Rfam family "Bacterial large subunit ribosomal RNA", at positions 1 to 1975 of the family's 2925-position model. The record is from RNAcentral.